This 437-nucleotide long non-coding RNA is filed under the name Mus musculus (house mouse). RNAcentral's name for it is "predicted gene 45733". Lineage: Eukaryota; Metazoa; Chordata; Mammalia; Rodentia; Muridae. The record is from RNAcentral.
CCUCACUGCCCCUCAAGCUAGGUGGAUUUUUCUCUUGUUGACAAAGAGUAUUUGGUAGGGAAAGCAGGUUAAAAAUAAAGACAGCCCUUCCCUGCCCUUUGUGUCCCCUUCCUGGUGACAGCAAGAAACCAUCAACACCAACAAGUUUCCACGUUCCUUUUACAGCAAAAGGGACUUUUUAUAUAACCAAAUGUGGUGUCUUAGUGACUUUUUGAUAAUGUACAGUUUUUUGUGAAUUUAAAUUUAUUUUUUUCUAUAUUUUUAGGACCAAUCUCAUUUUUAAUAAGGUUUAAAAAAAAGGAAAAAAAGUCUAGAGAAAAAAAAAUACCUUGUUUUUGCCAUGUGAUGUUCCACAGGUGCGGCUGUAGAAAAGUGCUUGUCAUUGAAUAAAAACCACAUUUGAUAAAAGAAAAAAAAAAAAAAAAAAAAAAAAAACA